This is a long non-coding RNA of Perognathus longimembris pacificus (Pacific pocket mouse), 507 nucleotides long. RefSeq lists it as uncharacterized. The record is from RefSeq and is a predicted model, not a curated record. The transcript is spliced from 2 exons. Lineage: Eukaryota; Metazoa; Chordata; Mammalia; Rodentia; Heteromyidae.
CUCAAAAUUAUUUUGAACAAUGGUUUUUACUAAAAUUAAUGUGUAAGUGAUCUACUUCCAUAGGGAAUGAGCAUUGUCUUAUAGAUGAAGAAAACAAAAAAUACUUCAAACUUAAGCCACAAAAGCUUAAGAGGUAAAACAGACCAAAACAAAAUAAAUCAACUGAGAGUAGUAAAUUCUAUUAUUCCAUAGGUACCUUCUAUAAGUGGUCUGCACCUGAACUUCCUUCAGUCACACAUUUGGCAAGGAAAGAGAAACAUUUUGGUAGUGUGGCUGGCAGGGGCAUUAAGGAAAAGAUGUGUUACAAUUGAAUUUUCUAUGCAUUUUUUUCCUUUCAAAACUCUUUCAGAGGCUAGGAAUGUGUUUCCCAUCCUUAGAUAUAACUGGAGGGGAAAAAAGAUCUUAAGUUAUUUUCAAUAAUCAUAUUGGAGAUAGUGGUGGUGGUAUUAUUCUAAGACUGUUGUGCUUAACCUAUUAAGAAUUGAUUUUAAAUUCUAUCUGAAAAGU